This 478-nucleotide ribosomal RNA is filed under the name uncultured bacterium. RNAcentral describes it as "partial 16S ribosomal RNA". It matches the Rfam family "Bacterial small subunit ribosomal RNA", at positions 28 to 523 of the family's 1533-position model. The record is from RNAcentral.
GACGAACGCUGGCGGCGUGCUUAACACAUGCAAGUCGAACGGUAAGGCCCUUCGGGGUACACGAGUGGCGAACGGGUGAGUAACACGUGGGUGAUCUGCCCUGCACUUCGGGAUAAGCCUGGGAAACUGGGUCUAAUACCGGAUAGGACCACUGCCUGCAUGGGUGGAGGUGGAAAGCUUUUGCGGUGUGGGAUGGGCCCGCGGCCUAUCAGCUUGUUGGUGGGGUGAUGGCCUACCAAGGCGACGACGGGUAGCCGGCCUGGGAGGGUGGCCGGCCACACUGGGACUGAGAUACGGCCCAGACUCCUACGGGAGGCAGCAGUGGGGAAUAUUGCACAAUGGGCGCAAGCCUGAUGCAGCGACGCCGCGUGAGGGAUGACGGCCUUCGGGUUGUAAACCUCUUUCAGCACCGACGAAGCGCAAGUGACGGUAGGUGCAGAAGAAGGACCGGCCAACUACGUGCCAGCAGCCGCCGUAA